RNAcentral lists this ribosomal RNA (460 nucleotides) under Methemus cf. javanus MSL2007. RNAcentral's name for it is "partial 16S ribosomal RNA". It matches the Rfam family "Bacterial large subunit ribosomal RNA", at positions 1797 to 2540 of the family's 2925-position model. The record is from RNAcentral. Lineage: Eukaryota; Metazoa; Arthropoda; Insecta; Coleoptera; Ptinidae.
CGCCUGUUUAACAAAAACAUGUCUUUUUAGUUAAAAUUAAAAAGUCGUACCUGCCCAAUGAAAAUUUUAAUGGCCGCGGAAUUUUAACCGUGCAAAGGUAGCAUAAUCAUUAGUUUUAUAAUUUAAAACUGGAAUGAAGGGUUUGUCAAGAAACUUUCUGUCUCUUUUUGAUAUAAUGAAAUUUAUUUUUAAGUAAAAAAGCUUAAAUUUUAUUAAAAGACGAGAAGACCCUAUAGAGUUUUAUAGAUUAAUAAAUUUUAUUAUUAAUUUUAUUUUAUUAAUUUAUUUUUAUUGGGGCGAUAAGAAAAUUAAUUAAACUUUUCUUUUAUUAUUAUAUUUAUAUAUAAUUUUAUGAUCCAUUGUUAAUGAUUAAAAGAUUAAAUUACCUUAGGGAUAACAGCGUUAUUUAUUUUUAUAGUUCUUAUAGAAAAAUAAGUUUGCGACCUCGAUGUUGGAUUAA